UNUGGUCUGUCACUGACGCUGAGGCUCGAAAGCGUGGGUAGCGAACAGGAUUAGAUACCCUGGUAGUNCACGCCGUAAACGAUGAGUGCUAGGUGUUAGGCCCUUUCCGGGGCUUAGUGCCGGAGCUAACGCAAUAAGCACUCCGCCUGGGGAGUACGACCGCAAGGUUGAAACUCAAAGGAAUUGACGGGGGCCCGCACAAGCGGUGGAGCAUGUGGUUUAAUUCGAAGCAACGCGAAGAACCUUACCAGGUCUUGACAUCCCGAUGCUAUUCUUAGAGAUAGGAAGUUACUUCGGUACAUCGGAGACAGGUGGUGCAUGGUUGUCGUCAGCUCGUGUCGUGAGAUGUUGGGUUAANNNNNNCANCGAGCGCAACCCUUAUUGUUAGUUGCCAUCAUUAAGUUGGGCACUCUAGCGAGACUGCCGGUAAUAAACCGGAGGAAGGUGGGGAUGACGUCAAAUCAUCAUGCCCCUUAUGACCUGGGCUACACACGUGCUACAAUGGUCGGUACAACGAGUUGCGAGCCGGUGACGGCAAGCUAAUCUCUGAAAGCCGAUCUCAGUUCGGAUUGGAGGCUGCA
This 581-nucleotide ribosomal RNA is filed under the name uncultured bacterium. RNAcentral's name for it is "bacterial SSU rRNA". It matches the Rfam family "Bacterial small subunit ribosomal RNA", at positions 728 to 1309 of the family's 1533-position model. The record is from RNAcentral.